UCUAUCUUUUCAUUUAGAGUUACUUUUCAAGAGUAGAGUAUACAUUUGAACAAAUGAAAUAACUUAUUUUAUAUUUAACUUUUCUAGGGCAGCUUUGGAAGAAGUAGAAGGUGAUGUGGCAGAAUUGGAACUAAAACUUGAUAAGCUUGUGAAGCUUUGUAUUGCAAUGAUUGACACUGGAAAAGCCUUUUGUGUUGCAAAUAAACAGUUCAUGAAUGGGAUUCGAGACCUGGCUCAGUAUUCUAGUAACGAUGCUGUAGUUGAGACAAGUUUGACCAAGUUUUCCGACAGUCUUCAAGAAAUGAUAAAUUUUCACACACAUUCUCUGGAAUUCUAAUUGCAUAGCAUCCCAGUAUAAAGGAUGAUCAAGAAAAACUGCUUUCUGAAACAAUAAAUAGUGUAACCUGCAUUAGAUUCUGUAGCAGAGCUCAUAACAAUUGGGCUUUGGUAUAUCAGUUUGUGUAAGGAUAAAAGUCUGGAUAUUUCAGAGGGGUCAUUUAUGAACUUUGUGGGCUUAAAUAAACAUUUGAAAAUAAUAAAACCAUUUGUGUUAUUAGCCAAAUAAAGAUUAAACAUAUGUUGGA
Non-coding RNA from Chlorocebus sabaeus (green monkey), 584 nucleotides. The record is from RefSeq and is a predicted model, not a curated record. Lineage: Eukaryota; Metazoa; Chordata; Mammalia; Primates; Cercopithecidae.